RNAcentral lists this long non-coding RNA (203 nucleotides) under Vigna radiata. RNAcentral describes it as "long non-coding RNA (VRAD_LNC007336)". The record is from RNAcentral. Lineage: Eukaryota; Viridiplantae; Streptophyta; Magnoliopsida; Fabales; Fabaceae.
GGUUUUAUAGGGUUGAGUGAGGCCUAAAACCCACUUCUAAUAAUCAUAGUAAAAUUUUAGUCAAUUACUAUAAAUUACUAGUGGGGAGAGGAAUUCUAAGUGUAAGGAUUUUAAUUUUUAUGUUAUAACACAAGUGUAUGAAUUAAAAAGUGAUAAUUAAAUUUAAUUAUGUAAAAUGAUUAGUUUAUUUAGUUAGAUGCCUG